UCCUCUUAUUCCCUUUCUUCUGUACAAGUCACCACCACCAUCAUCAUCAUCCAUUCUCUCUCUCUCUCUCUUCAUGUUUCGAAAUAAACACCAAGAACACACACAAGUGUGUGUGAGAGAAGCAGGCCUAAAUCGUUGUUUUUUAAGAAAGAGAAACACAAAAAACAUACACACAAGUGUGUGAGAGAAAGAGAAACAAGAUUCUCCAUCGUCUUUAUCAAGAACACCAAGAUGUGUGAGAGAGAAGCAGGCCUGAAAUCAUUCGGUUUCAUGAGUUUUUAGAGAGAGAAAGUUGUUGGAAAACCAAAACCAAAACCAAGAACACACACAAGUUUGAAAGAGAGAAGCAGGUCAGAAAUUCAUUUGGUUGCAUGUGUUUUUAGAGAGAGAAAAUUGUUAGAACACCAAGAACACACACGUAUGAGAGAGAAGUAGAUUUGAAGAUGAACAUAAGAGAGAAGCAGAUUUGAAGAUGAACAUGAGAGAGAACAGAUUUAGAGAGAGGAACAACAAUCUUCAUCGUGUUCGUCUCGAACACCAAGAACACACGCACAAAGUGGUCUAGUAAUGAUAAAAACUCAAAAUUUGGGGAGUCUUCAAGUUCAGGGCAUAAUUGGGUAGAAGCAGUUGCAGCCAAACGAGAAGGGAUCUUGGCAGGAAGAAAGAUAACCACAAUAUCAGAUGCGACAAAAGGUGGCCAUAAAGCGAAAAAAGGUAUAUGGAGAAACCGAUGAAGAAGUGGAAUAAGAAGUCAAUGAAGGGCAGGUGGUGGGUACCUUUCACGUUGUACUGAAGUUACCCUCUAGUGUAACACAUGUUACAAACAUGUGUUACAUAUGUUUAACCCCUUUGUUACCAAAAAACGGGGCUGCACAUAUGUAAGCCAUGUUUUGUAACUUAUGUUACACUAGAGGGUAACACAUCUACGAUCAUUUUUGGAUCAUUUGUAUAUAGUUAAGUCUGUAUAAACCUACAGCAUCGAUACCCCACAAAAAGGUUACCAUGUUACGACAGAAUGGGAAAUAUGUAGUAGCGUUCAAUACUGUUGUUUCA
Molecule: long non-coding RNA, 1053 nt
Organism: Helianthus annuus (common sunflower)
Lineage: Eukaryota; Viridiplantae; Streptophyta; Magnoliopsida; Asterales; Asteraceae
Exons: 3
Source: RefSeq, a predicted model, not a curated record